Molecule: ribosomal RNA, 492 nt
Filed under: uncultured bacterium
Lineage: Bacteria
Description: partial 16S ribosomal RNA
Rfam family: Bacterial small subunit ribosomal RNA
Source: RNAcentral
AGUGGACGCUGGCGGUAGGCCUAACACAUGCAAGUCGAACGGCAGCACAGAAAGAGCUUGCUCUUACGGGUGGCGAGUGGCGGACGGGUGAGGAAUACAUCGGAAUCUACUUUUUCGUGGGGGAUAACGUAGGGAAACUUACGCUAAUACCGCAUACGACCUACGGGUGAAAGCAGGGGAUCUUCGGACCUUGCGCGAUUGAAUGAGCCGAUGUCGGAUUAGCUAGUUGGCGGGGUAAAGGCCCACCAAGGCGACGAUCCGUAGCUGGUCUGAGAGGAUGAUCAGCCACACUGGAACUGAGACACGGUCCAGACUCCUACGGGAGGCAGCAGUGGGGAAUAUUGGACAAUGGGCGCAAGCCUGAUCCAGCCAUACCGCGUGGGUGAAGAAGGCCUUCGGGUUGUAAAGCCCUUUUGUUGGGAAAGAAAAGCAGCAGGUUAAUACCCCGCUGUUCUGACGGUACCCAAAGAAUAAGCACCGGCUAACUUCGUG